AUUGAACGCUGGCGGCAGGCCUAACACAUGCAAGUCGAACGGUAACAGGAAUAGCUUGCUMUUCGCUGACGAGUGGCGGACGGGUGAGUAAUGCUUGGGAACUUGCCUUUGCGAGGGGGAUAACAGUUGGAAACGACUGCUAAUACCGCAUAAUGUCUACGGACCAAACGGGGCUUAGGCUCCGGCGCAAAGAGAGGCCCAAGUGAGAUUAGCUAGUUGGUAAGGUAAAGGCUUACCAAGGCAACGAUCUCUAGCUGUUCUGAGAGGAAGAUCAGCCACACUGGAACUGAGACACGGUCCAGACUCCUACGGGAGGCAGCAGUGGGGAAUAUUGCACAAUGGGGGAAACCCUGAUGCAGCCAUGCCGCGUGUGUGAAGAAGGCCUUCGGGUUGUAAAGCACUUUCAGUUGUGAGGAAAAGUUAGUAGUUAAUACCUGCUAGCCGUGACGUUAACAACAGAAGAAGCACCGGCUAACUCCGUGCCAGCAGCCGCGGUAAUACGGAGGGUGCGAGCGUUAAUCGGAAUUACUGGGCGUAAAGCGCACGCAGGCGGUUUGUUAAGCUAGAUGUGAAAGCCCCGGGCUCAACCUGGGAUGGUCAUUUAGAACUGGCAGACUAGAGUCUUGGAGAGGGGAGUGGAAUUCCAGGUGUAGCGGUGAAAUGCGUAGAUAUCUGGAGGAACAUCAGUGGCGAAGGCGACUCCCUGGCCAAAGACUGACGCUCAUGUGCGAAAGUGUGGGUA
RNAcentral lists this ribosomal RNA (742 nucleotides) under Alteromonas sp. B358. RNAcentral describes it as "bacterial SSU rRNA". It matches the Rfam family "Bacterial small subunit ribosomal RNA", at positions 28 to 767 of the family's 1533-position model. The record is from RNAcentral. Lineage: Bacteria; Pseudomonadati; Pseudomonadota; Gammaproteobacteria; Alteromonadales; Alteromonadaceae.